This is a long non-coding RNA of Canis lupus familiaris (dog), 963 nucleotides long. RefSeq lists it as uncharacterized. The record is from RefSeq and is a predicted model, not a curated record. Lineage: Eukaryota; Metazoa; Chordata; Mammalia; Carnivora; Canidae. The transcript has 4 exons.
GCUCAGAGCCUGCUUGGGCCUCAACAAAUAGAUCCUACUGCUAUGGGGAGAUGGCCUAGACCAGCCUAGGACAUCCAGCAGAGCUGUGUCCAAUCUGCCAAGACGAUUCAUCCAGGACAGAAGGACCCAGGAACGUCCCGGGGGCCAUCAAACCUCUGCCCAGAGGCUCAAGUGCCCAGGUUGUGGCAAGACCAGCAGUCGGAAAGGGGGCUGUGGCUCUGAGCCCCCCAACAGGCAGCGGCCUGGGUGGACACGGAGCCCCUGAUGGCUCUCAGCCAGCAACACCCUUACUGAAGAAUGGAGUGGGCCUGCCGAAGAGCCGGAGAGGGGCAGGAGCGCGGCCUUGUCACACGGGAGCCCGGGGCGGCACAUUCCCCGUCCCACCCGGCACGGGACGGGACGCAGCUGUCCUCUGGGAGCAGCACCUCUCCCAGCGAAAUCCAGGUCCACAGGAUGCCCUCGGGUGUUGAGCAGCUCUGUGUCUGCCUGGGCCCCGGAUCUGCUGAGAGGUCAAACGCUCCAACUUCUCAAGUGCUCAAGGGCCACUAUACUUGUCACCCAGAUAUUCCACACCUGUGCCUCACUGCCUGGGGCGCCUUCCCAUGCUGACCUGGAGCCAGGACAGGGUCAGAGGCUGGGACAAGGCUGCCAGGAUGGCAAGGGGACAAGAAACCAUUCCUGUGGAGACACAGCCCACACAGAGGCUUGUCAGAGGCCUUGAUACGCCAGACGUCCUGUUGUAGGAGAGGCCACGAUGGGCACCACCUGGCACCAUCGCCGGCGUCCCGGGCAAGGAAGUGAGUGUACACGCCUUGAGACCCUGCAGCAGCUCCCAAGAGCAGGGCCACAGCCUGAACCAAUGCAUGUAACGCUCCAAGACAUCAAAAGAGCAAGUUGAGAACAAUAUGCGCGAGAUGUCAUUUAGUAGGGGAAAAGCAAACCACAAAACAUCGCUCUGACUCA